CCAGGUUGAUUCUGCCUGACGUAGACGCUAUUCCCUAAGAUUAACCCAUGCAUGUUUUUGAAGAUUAUUAUCUGAAAAAUGGACUGCUCAGUAAUACUCACUUUAUUUUAUGUGCACCGCAGAUAACUACGUUAAAGUGUAGAUAACAUGUGUACAGUAAGAGUGAGACCUAUCAGCUAGUUGUUAGGGUAAUGGCUUAACAAGGCAGUGACGGGUAACGGUAUUACUUUGUAAUAUUCCGGAGAAGGAGCCUGAGAGACGGCUACUAAGUCUAAGGAUUGCAGCAGGGGCGAAACUUGACCUAUGGAUUUUAUCUGAGGCGGUUAUGGGAAGUAAUAUAUUAUUGUUUCAUAUUUUAAAAAUAUAUGAGGUGAUUAAUUGGAGGGCAAAUCAAGUGCCAGCAGCCGCGGUAAUACUUGUUCCAAGAGUGUGUAUGAUGAUUGAUGCAGUUAAAAAGUCCGUAGUUUAUUUUUAAGAAGCAAUAUGAGGUGUACUGUAUAGUUGGGAGAGAGAUGAAAUGUGACGACCCUGACUGGACGAACA
RNAcentral lists this ribosomal RNA (543 nucleotides) under Vairimorpha bombi. RNAcentral describes it as "SSU rRNA". It matches the Rfam family "Microsporidia small subunit ribosomal RNA", at positions 1 to 594 of the family's 1311-position model. Lineage: Eukaryota; Fungi; Microsporidia; Nosematidae. The record is from RNAcentral.